RNAcentral lists this ribosomal RNA (1430 nucleotides) under marine metagenome. Its description in RNAcentral is "bacterial LSU rRNA". It matches the Rfam family "Bacterial large subunit ribosomal RNA", at positions 1510 to 2925 of the family's 2925-position model. The record is from RNAcentral.
GGGGUAAGCCGUAGGGAGAGUUAUAGGCAAAUCCGUAACUCACAUAUCCUGAGAGCUGACGCCGAGCCGAUUAUGGCGAAGUGGAUGAUCCUAUGCUGCCGAGAAAAGCCUCUAGCGAGUGUCGUUGCGGCCCGUACCCCAAACCGACUCAGGUGUUCAGGUAGAGAAUACUAAGGCGAUCGAGAUAACCAUGGUUAAGGAACUCGGCAAAAUGCCCCCGUAACUUCGGGAGAAGGGGGGCCGCGGUUUGUGUAGAGAUUUACUCUCGAAGCAGAUUGCGGCCGCAGAGACUAGGCUGAAGCGACUGUUUACUAAAAACACAGGUCCAUGCGAAGUCGCAAGACGAUGUAUAUGGACUGACGCCUGCCCGGUGCUGGAAGGUUAAGGGGACCGGUUAGCCGCAAGGCGAAGCUGAGAACUUAAGCCCCAGUAAACGGCGGUGGUAACUAUAACCAUCCUAAGGUAGCGAAAUUCCUUGUCGGGUAAGUUCCGACCUGCACGAAUGGCGUAACGACUUCAGCGCUGUCUCAACCGUGGACUCGGCGAAAUUGCACUACGAGUAAAGAUGCUCGUUACGCGCGGAAAGACGGAAAGACCCCGGGACCUUUACUAUAGUUUGGUAUUGAUGUUCGAUUCGAUUUAUGUAGGAUAGGUGGGAGACUUUGAAGCCAAGACGCCAGUUUUGGUGGAGUCAAUCUUGAAAUACCACUUUGAUCGUGUUGAAUGUCUAACCUAGGUCCGUAAUCCGGAUCAGGGACAGUGCCUGAUGGGUAGUUUAACUGGGGCGGUUGCCUCCUAAAAUGUAACGGAGGCGCUCAAAGGUUCCCUCAGCCUGGUUGGUAAUCAGGUGUCGAGUGUAAAUGCACAAGGGAGCUUGACUGUGAGAUCGACGGAUCGAGCAGGGACGAAAGUCGGAAUUAGUGAUCCGGCGCCGGCAAGUGGAAGCGGCGUCGCUCAACGGAUAAAAGGUACCCCGGGGAUAACAGGCUGAUCUUGCCCGAGAGUCCAUAUCGACGGCAUGGUUUGGCACCUCGAUGUCGGCUCGUCGCAUCCUGGGGCUGGAGUUGGUCCCAAGGGUUGGGCUGUUCGCCCAUUAAAGCGGCACGCGAGCUGGGUUUAGAACGUCGUGAGACAGUUCGGUCCCUAUCUUCCGCGCGCGUAAGAGUCUUGAGAAGGGCUGCCCCUAGUACGAGAGGACCGGGGUGGACGAACCUCUGGUGUGCCAGUUGUCCUGCCAAGGGCACGGCUGGUUGGCUACGUUCGGAAGGGAUAACCGCUGAAAGCAUCUAAGCGGGAAGCCUGCUUCAAGAUGAGGACUCUCACUGUUUAUCAGGUAAGGCCCCCAGUAGAUGACUGGGUUGAUAGGCCGGAGGUGGAAGUGCGGCAACGCAUGGAGCUGACCGGUACUAAUAGGCCGAGGACUUGUCUCU